UAGAAACAGAUCUUCUUCUGAUGAUGAUGAUGAUGAUGCUUUGCCAAGUUAUCAAACCUCUCAAAUAAUCACAAAUACAGAGAAUUUCGAUUUGUCUGUUGAUAGUCCCUUUGGCUUAGACUUCAGCGCUAUACCGGAUUUUAAUAAUAUUUUGGAAUUGGCGCCAGAUUAUGCCACAAAAAUGGAUGAUGCGACGGCUGAUGGUAUUCUACGGGAUAUAUUGAACAAACCUGAUUAUUGUCACAACACCUCUAUACAGAACAGCAAUGUUGUUGAUGAGCAACCGUUUUUCCCACACGCGACAGGGGGUCGUGCUAAAACAUUCGAAUAUAAAGCAGGUGUGUAA
Long non-coding RNA from Pseudophryne corroboree (corroboree frog), 346 nucleotides. RefSeq lists it as uncharacterized. The transcript is spliced from 3 exons. The record is from RefSeq and is a predicted model, not a curated record. NCBI's taxonomy places the organism in Eukaryota, Metazoa, Chordata, Amphibia, Anura, Myobatrachidae.